UAUCAUCCAAUGCAAAGAAGGGGUGGGCUGCUAUUGAGUGGAUAAUUGAGCAUUCUGAAAGCGCUGUGAGCUAACGGGGUCCGCGCCUGCGCCUGGUGACAAACGGCGAGCUAAACUGCCUCAAUCUUUAAUCAGAUACAUCGCCCCCCAAAAAAAUGAAAGAGGAAAGAAAAAAAGAGAAGGAAAGAAAAAUGAAUGAAAGGAAGGAAGGAAGAAAGAAGUGAGUCCUGAAUAUGGUUCACUGGCCCAGUCUGGAAGAGGUGUGGAAUCUGCUGGAAUCUUCCGCCUGCCACUCACGGCCUCCGCCAGGCUCCUCCGUCGUGACCUCACGGCACAGGAGGCCCGGCCAUGGUGCAGGCGGAGUGCUCGUCCGUUGCAGAGAGAGACUCGGUGGUAGGGCAAGGGCUGCAACGCCCUGCCUGUCCCCCCGCCGCUGAGCCAGCAGGUGGGGAGCCGGCCCCACCCGCAGCCCAGCACCCCCACCCCGUGCCGGUGUGUCCUCGUGCUGCUCUUGUGCCUGGUCUGUUUUCCCCCAGCUGCAGCUCCCACAUCUGUCCUGCCAACUCUUGGGAUCUUACUAAACAGCUUCUCUCUUUUCAGAUCCGUUUCCGUUCCGUGCCCCUUAAUCAGCAGUCUUCACUGCCAGUCUCUUCACACAUAGCUGGCCACCAUCUGUCACCUCAGGAGUCUCUGGCUGAGUCCUUCCACACUCGUCACCCAUUCUCUGCAGUAACAUCAUUGUCCAAGGUCAGACCUUUUGGGAAGCACACCCCUUUCGGGUUUCCCUGGCACCGCCCUUCCUGGAAGCCAGGACUGGCUCUCCUCUGGCUGAGCAGCUGUGUCAUCUUUCCUGGGCAUUUCCUUGGCCCUUCUCCUCUCCUGGAGCCCUUGUCUCCUAGAUUCCCUGCUUCCUCUCUCUGUCCUAUCACAAGAUGGGAAAGCACAUAUGUAGUAGCUUCUAAGACUUGGCACAUCUGAAAAUGUCUCUUCUCUUCUCCUGCUUCAUUUAUAUCUUGGCUGGAUGUAUAAUUCCAGAUAAAAAUACUUUCACUCAGAAUUUUGAAGGCAUUGCUCCAUUGUUUUCCACUCCAAUUCUUGAUCCUCUGUAUGUGACUUUUUUCUCUCUGAAAGCUUUUAGGAUCUCUUUAUCCCUGAUUUUUGUUUUUUAAAGAUUUUAUUUUUCCCUUUUCUCCCCAAAGCUCCCCCCCAGUACAUAGUUGUAUAUUUUUAGUUGUGGGUCCUUCUAGUUGUGGCAUGUGGGAUGCCGCCUCAGUAUGUCUUAAUGAAUGUUGCCAUGUCCGCGCCCAGGAUCCGAACUGGUGAAACCCUGGGCUGCUGAAGUGGAGCAUGUGAACUUAACCACUCAGCCAUGGGGCCCUAUCCCUGAUGUUUUGAAAUUUUAUAUGACUAAGCCUUGUUUGAAGUUAUCUUUUAAAAUUCACUGUGCUGCAUUAUGUGUGUUAAAUUCCUGGUUUUGAUAUUGUACUAUAAUUAUGUAAGAUGUUACUGAGGGGAUGUGGGUGAAAGGUACACAGGACAUUCCUGUGCUAUCUUUGUAGCUUCCUGUGAAUCUAUAAUAAUUUCAAAAUUAAAAGUUAAAAAAAUAUAUAAAUAGUGACAUCAUGGAAAAUGGCAGAGGUGGACAUUCCAAGAAUCAGCCCCUCCAAUGAAACAGUCGAUAAGCUAGCAAGAAAUGACAAACUCAACUUUUGUAGAACUCUGGAUUUUAAUCAGAUACUUAAACCAACUAGGGGAGUGCCUAAUGAAUCUUAAGUGACCUACCCUGCAGAUUUUGGACUUCCCAGCCUCCAUAAUCAUGUAGGCCAAUUCCUUAAAAUAAAUCUCUCUCUCUCUCUUUUUCCAAACAGACAUUCUAUUGGUUCUGUUUCUCUGGAGAACCUUGACUAAUACACUAUUGAAGCUAAAUUCGUGUCAAUUCAAACUAGAUUUUUUUAACUUAAGAUGUUAAUUAUAAUCACCAGGGUAACCAGUAAGAAAAUAACUAAAAAAUUAUACAGAAAAAGAAACAAAGGGGAAAUCAAAAUGGUAUACUAGAAAAAAAGAAAAUCAGUCAAACACAACAGAAGGCAGUGUGGAAAGAAUUCAAGAACAAAAAGUCAUAAAAUUUAUAGAAAACAAAUAGCAAAAUGUAAGAAGCUAGUGCUUCCUUAGCAAUAAUUACUUUAAAGGUAAAUAGGUAAAAUUCAUCAAUUAAAGGACAGAGAUUGGCAGAGUGGAUGAAAAAACAUGAUACUACUAUAUAUGUUGCCUAGAAAAGACUCACUUUAUUUUUAUUUUUUUUUUUUAAAGAUUUUAUUUUUUCCUUUUUCUCCCCAAAGCCCCCCCGGUACAUAGUUGUAUAUUCUUUGUUGUGGGUCCUUCUAGUUGUGGUAUGUGGGACGCUGCCUCAGCAUGGUUUGAUGAGUGGUGCCAUGUCCGCGCCCAGGAUUCGAACCAACGAAACACUGGGCCGCCUGCAGCGGAGCGCGUGAACUUAACCACUCGGCCACGGGGCCAGCCCCAGAAAAGACUCACUUUAGAUCCAAAGACACAAAUAGGUUGAAUGUGAAAGGAUGGAAAAAGAUAUUCCGUGCAAAAGAGAGCUGGGGUGGGCAUACUUAUAUCAGAAAAAAAUAGACUUUAAGUAAAAAAUUAUUAUAAGAGACAAAAAAGGACAUUAUAUAUUGACAAGAGGGUCCAUUCAUCAAGAAGAUAAAAGUUACAACCAUAUACAUACCAAACUACAGAACCUGAAAAUAUAUGAAGCAAACAUUAGCAGAACUGAAGGGAAAAAUAACAAUUCUAUAAUAAUAGUUGGAGACUUCAAGAAUUCACAUUCAAUAAUGGAUAGGACAUCUAGACAGAGAUCAGUAAGAAAAUGAGGACUUGAACAACACUGUAAACUAACUUGACCUAACAGACAUAUAGAAAACACUUCCUCCAGAAAGAGCAGAAUACACAUUUUUAUCCAGAGCACAUGGAAUAUUCUUCAGGAUAGACCAUAUGUUAGGCCAAAAAACAAGUCUCAAUAAACUUAAGAAGAUUGAAAGCAUAUAAAGUAUCAUUGGUGAUUACAGUGAAAUGAAAUUAGAAAUCAGUAGCAUAAGGAAAACUGGAAGUUUCACAAAUAUGUGGCAUUUAAAAAACAUACUUCUAAUAACCAGUGAGUCAAAGAAGAAAUUACAAGUGAAGUUAUAUUUUGAGAUGAAUGAAAGUGAAAACACAACAUAUGAAAAACUUAUGAGAUGCAAUGAGGGCAGUGCUCAGAAGGAAAUUCAUAGUUACAAAGACCUUCAUUAAAAAAAGAAGAAAGGGGGCCAGCUUGGUGGUGCAGCUAUUAAGUUCACACAUUCUGCUUCAAUGGCCUGGGGUUCGCUGGUUUGGAUCCCAGGUGCGGACAUGGCACUGCUUGGCAAGCCAUGCUGUGGCAGGCGUCCCACUUACAAAGUAGAGGAAGAUGGGUAUGGAUGUUAGCUCAGGGCCAGUCUUCCUCAGCAAAAAGAGGAGGAUUGGCCACAGAUGUUAGCUCAGGGCGAAUCUUCCUCAAAAAUUAAUUAAAUUUUUUAAAAAGAGAAAGAUCUCAGAUCGUUUACCUGAUUUAAGGACUAGAAAAAAAAAAGAACAAAGUAAACCCAUAGCUUGCAGGAGGAAAGAGAUGAUCAAGAUUAGAGAGCAGACAAUAUAGAGAAUAGAAAGGCAAUAGAAUUCUUGAAGCUAGAAGUUGUUUCACUGAAAAGAUCAUUGAAAUUGGAAAACCUUUUAGUAAGACCAAGAAAAAGGAUUCAAAAUAAAAAAAUCAGAAAUAAAAGUGGAGGCAUUACUACAGACAUUAUAGAAAUAAAAGGAUAUAAGAGAAUACUAGGAAUAAUUAUAUACCAACAAAUUAGAUAACCUAGGUGAGAUGGACAAAUUCCUAGAAACACAAAUUACCAAAACUGAUUAAAGAGGAAAUAGAAAAUCUCAACAGACCUAUAACAGGUAAAGAGAUUGAAUCAGUAAUUUAAGACCUCCCAACAAAGAAAGGUCUAAAUAUUAAAG
RNAcentral lists this long non-coding RNA (4038 nucleotides) under Equus asinus (donkey). RNAcentral describes it as "lncRNA (ENSEASG00005025505.1)". The record is from RNAcentral. Lineage: Eukaryota; Metazoa; Chordata; Mammalia; Perissodactyla; Equidae.